Molecule: ribosomal RNA, 488 nt
Filed under: Cristaria plicata
Lineage: Eukaryota; Metazoa; Mollusca; Bivalvia; Unionida; Unionidae
Description: partial 16S ribosomal RNA
Rfam family: Bacterial large subunit ribosomal RNA
Source: RNAcentral
UCGUCUUUUGAAGUCUCUGAUAAAAGAUAAUGCCUGCCCAGUGAAACUUUAAACGGCCGCGUUAGCGUGAGCGUGCUAAGGUAGCGUAAUAAUUAGCCUUUUAAUUGGAGGCCAGUGAAUGGCAAGACUAGGAACACCUUUACUUUGUGGUGUCAAAAAAACUUUUCGUCUAAGUGAAAAGACUUAGAUAACAAAGGAAGACGAAAAGACCCCGCGGAGCUUUACCUCUUCUCGCGCUUCUGUUUACACACUUAAAAGUGCUUAAGGUUUGAUUGGGGCAAUCUCGGAAUCAUCAAAGCUUCCGAUUCUUUAGAAAUCAUAUCUAAAACUUACUAAGGACCAAAAAGAAGCUACCCCGGGGAUAACAGCGUAAUCCAACUCAAGAGUACAUAUCGAAAGUUGGGUUUGCGACCUCGAUGUUGGCUUAAGGAUAUCCACAUUAGUGCAACCGCUAUGACAGGAUAGUCUGUUCGACUAUUAUACCCUUA